RNAcentral lists this ribosomal RNA (433 nucleotides) under uncultured bacterium. Its description in RNAcentral is "partial 16S ribosomal RNA". It matches the Rfam family "Bacterial small subunit ribosomal RNA", at positions 29 to 507 of the family's 1533-position model. The record is from RNAcentral.
AACGAACGCUGGCGGCAUGCCUAACACAUGCAAGUCGAACGAGACCUUCGGGUCUAUUGGCGCACGGGUGCGUAACGCGUGGGAACCUGCCCUUAGGUUCGGAAUAACUCCCCUAAAGGGGUGCUAAUACCGGAUAAUGUCUUCGGACCAAAGAUUUAUCGCCGUUGGAUGGGCCCGCGUUGGAUUAGCUAGUUGGGAGGGUAAAAGCCUACCAAGGCGACGAUCCAUAGCUGGUCUGAGAGGAUGAUCAGCCACACUGGGACUGAGACACGGCCCAGACUCCUACGGGAGGCAGCAGUGGGGAAUAUUGGACAAUGGGCGAAAGCCUGAUCCAGCAAUGCCGCGUGAGUGAUGAAGGCCUUAGGGUUGUAAAGCUCUUUUACCCGGGAUGAUAAUGACAGUACCGGGAGAAUAAGCUCCGGCUAACUCCGUG